This 248-nucleotide ribosomal RNA is filed under the name uncultured bacterium. RNAcentral describes it as "partial 16S ribosomal RNA". It matches the Rfam family "Bacterial small subunit ribosomal RNA", at positions 524 to 776 of the family's 1533-position model. The record is from RNAcentral.
GACAGAGGAUGCAAGCGUUAUCCGGAAUGAUUGGGCGUAAAGCGUCUGUAGGUGGCUUUUUAAGUCCGCCGUCAAAUCCCAGGCUCAACCCUGGACAGGCGGUGGAAACUACCAAGCUGGAGUACGGUAGGGCAGAGGGAAUUUCCGGUGGAGCGGUGAAAUGCGUAGAGAUCGGGAGGAACACCAGUGGCGAAGCGGCUACCUGGACCAGCACUGGACACUGAGUCACGAAGCGUGGGAGCAACAGG